This is a non-coding RNA of Phascolarctos cinereus (koala), 324 nucleotides long. The record is from RefSeq and is a predicted model, not a curated record. NCBI's taxonomy places the organism in Eukaryota, Metazoa, Chordata, Mammalia, Diprotodontia, Phascolarctidae.
GUUAGCAGCUAUUGAAUAUGAGGCUCUUCCCUCCCCCUUAAGUAGUCCAUGUGAGAGAUGAUGAGGACCUCAACUAGAGUGGUAGGUGUGUGAAUAGAAAAGAAACAUAUACAAGAGAUGUUGUGAAAGAAGAGGAUUUGGCAGCAGACUGGAUAUGUGAGGUCUCAGGUCUUCAUUAUUCGUAGUUGCUUUAAGAGGCACCAUCUCUCUUCCCUGGACCAUCAAUACCCUGAAGCUCUGGGCUCCAUGGCCUUCCCACCCAGAUAUCUGAUUUACUGCUUUCCCUCCUAACUUCUACAACCAAGGGAUUACCUGGAGAUUUAC